RNAcentral lists this ribosomal RNA (427 nucleotides) under Nipponaphis distyliicola. RNAcentral describes it as "partial small subunit ribosomal RNA". The record is from RNAcentral. Lineage: Eukaryota; Metazoa; Arthropoda; Insecta; Hemiptera; Hormaphididae.
UUAUAAAAAUCUAAAAUUAAUUACUUAAAAAUUAAUAGUUAAGUUCUUUAAAUUUAAAAAAUUUGGCGGUAUUUUAGUCUUAUUAGAGGAACCUGUGUUUUUAUUGAUAUUCCACGAUUAAUUUUACUUAUUUUGGAAAUUCAUAUAUCGCUGUCAUGAAUAUAUUUAAAAAUUCAUUUUCUUUAAUUAUUUUAAUAAUUUAUGUUAAGUCAAGAUGUGGUUUAUAAAUGAGUUAAUUAUGGGUUACAUUAAAUUAUAUUUUUAGAUUUUAAAUGAAAAUAAUGAAUGAAAUUGGAUUUAAUAGUAAUUUUAAUUAUUUAAUUAAUAUGAAUAUAGAUCUAAAAUAUGUACAUAUUGCCCGUCAUUCUUAUUAAAAAUAAGACAAGUCGUAACAAAGUAAGUGUACUGGAAAGUGUACUUAGAAAAA